CAGCCGCCGCGGUAAUACGAAGGGUGCAAGCGUUAAUCGGAAUUACUGGGCGUAAAGCGUGCGUAGGCGGUUUGUUAAGUCUGUUGUGAAAUCCCCGGGCUCAACCUGGGAAUGGCAAUGGAUACUGGCAAGCUAGAGCGUGUCAGAGGAUGGUGGAAUUCCCGGUGUAGCGGUGAAAUGCGUAGAGAUCGGGAGGAACAUCAGUGGCGAAGGCGGCCAUCUGGGACAACACUGACGCUGAGGCACGAAAGCGUGGGGAGCAAACAGGAUUAGAGACCCGAGUAGUCCCUGUCUCUUAUCC
This 301-nucleotide ribosomal RNA is filed under the name uncultured bacterium. RNAcentral's name for it is "partial 16S ribosomal RNA". It matches the Rfam family "Bacterial small subunit ribosomal RNA", at positions 509 to 809 of the family's 1533-position model. The record is from RNAcentral.